This 245-nucleotide ribosomal RNA is filed under the name uncultured Actinomycetales bacterium. RNAcentral describes it as "partial 16S ribosomal RNA". It matches the Rfam family "Bacterial small subunit ribosomal RNA", at positions 88 to 334 of the family's 1533-position model. The record is from RNAcentral. Lineage: Bacteria; Bacillati; Actinomycetota; Actinomycetes; Actinomycetales.
UGCUCGAGUGGCGAACGGGUGAGUAACACGUGAGUAACCUGCCCUUGACUUUGGGAUAACUUCAGGAAACUGGGGCUAAUACCGGAUAGGAGCUCCUGCUGCAUGGUGGGGGUUGGAGAGUUUCGGCGGUUGGGGAUGGACUCGCGGCUUAUCAGCUUGUUGGUGGGGUAGUGGCUUACCAAGGCUUUGACGGGUAGCCGGCCUGAGAGGGUGACCGGCCACAUUGGGACUGAGAUACGGCCCAG